ACUUGGAAAUUGAGUCUAACGAGCAGCAGAUUUGUAAUCUGUUAGUCGCGGGUUCGAAUCCCGCUCCAUGCA
This 72-nucleotide transfer RNA is filed under the name Xanthomonas oryzae. RNAcentral's name for it is "tRNA-Thr". It matches the Rfam family "tRNA", at positions 14 to 71 of the family's 71-position model. Rfam says of the family: Transfer RNA (tRNA) molecules are approximately 80 nucleotides in length. Their secondary structure includes four short double-helical elements and three loops (D, anti-codon, and T loops). Lineage: Bacteria; Pseudomonadati; Pseudomonadota; Gammaproteobacteria; Lysobacterales; Lysobacteraceae. The record is from RNAcentral.